UACGUAGGGGGCUAGCGUUGUCCGGAUUUAUUGGGCGUAAAGGGCGCGUAGGCGGCCCGGUAAGUCAAAGGUGAAAUCCCUCGGCUCAACUGAGGAACUGCCUUUGAAACUGUCGGGCUUGAGGCCGGGAGGGGGUAGCGGAAUUCCCAGUGUAGCGGUGAAAUGCGUAGAUAUUGGGAGGAACACCGGUGGCGAAGGCGGCUACCUGGACCGGUUCUGACGCUGAAACACGAAAGCCAGGGGAGCGAACGGG
Molecule: ribosomal RNA, 253 nt
Filed under: uncultured bacterium
Lineage: Bacteria
Description: partial 16S ribosomal RNA
Rfam family: Bacterial small subunit ribosomal RNA
Source: RNAcentral